UUUAAAAAACCAUUAAAGAAAAACAAGCUGUAUUUAUUACAUGCUUGACAACGCGUUGAGGUUGACGGUUGUAUGACAUAUUAUAUUUGUGUCGAAGAGAAUUUAUCGUUAAACAUAAAACAAUAAAGAUUCAUUAUGUGAAUAAAGAUUAAAAAACUUCAUAGGUAACGUUUUACUUGAACAAAAUUUAUUUGUAAUUACAGAUACAUUUUGUAAUUAGUUGUUUAAAUAUUUUCGGCCAGUCGAUAGUAAUCAUGUUCAACGGAAAUAGUAAGCAGAGUAUGGAGAAGCGUAAGUGUAGGCGGAGUACGCAGCAUAUGGAGCAGUGUAUGCUGAAUACGCUACGGGUGCUGUGUAUGCCACAGGCAGCAGUGGCUUGGCGGCAGCUAGGGCCAGGAAACAGGCAAAGACGAACUGCAAUCAAAUAAAUACAUUUACUAGAAAAC
RNAcentral lists this unclassified non-coding RNA (446 nucleotides) under Melitaea cinxia (Glanville fritillary). RNAcentral's name for it is "misc RNA ENSMCXG00005000724.1". Lineage: Eukaryota; Metazoa; Arthropoda; Insecta; Lepidoptera; Nymphalidae. The record is from RNAcentral.